AAAGCGUGCGCAGGCGGUUAUGUAAGAUAGAUGUGAAAUCCCCGGGCUCAACCUGGGAACUGCAUUAGUGACUGCAUAGCUGGAGUACGGCAGAGGGGGAUGGAAUUCCGCGUGUAGCAGUGAAAUGCGUAGAUAUGCGGAGGAACACCGAUGGCGAAGGCAAUCCCCUGGGCCUGUACUGACGCUCAUGCACGAAAGCGUGGGGAGCAAACAGGAUUAGAUACCCCAGU
Molecule: ribosomal RNA, 230 nt
Filed under: uncultured bacterium
Lineage: Bacteria
Description: partial 16S ribosomal RNA
Rfam family: Bacterial small subunit ribosomal RNA
Source: RNAcentral